RNAcentral lists this unclassified non-coding RNA (255 nucleotides) under Hevea brasiliensis (rubber tree). The record is from RNAcentral. Lineage: Eukaryota; Viridiplantae; Streptophyta; Magnoliopsida; Malpighiales; Euphorbiaceae.
AUCAUCAAGAAAUUGCAUAUGCAAGUUCAUCAGAUAAACAACUGGGUUGAAGAAGUUUAUGCUUUACCGAUAGUACUGUUCUUUGUGUUACCUUGUUGUAUGUGCAAUUUUAGGCCAUAAGAAAGUUACACUGAUAACAGCUUAACACUUAAGAAUUAAAAUAUGACACUUCAGCAGGCCUACUCAUGCAUGGUGAUAUACUGAUUAUAGCUUACAAGAGUCAAGAGUAUGAUAAACUGAUUACAGCUUACAAGA